RNAcentral lists this ribosomal RNA (468 nucleotides) under uncultured bacterium. RNAcentral's name for it is "partial 16S ribosomal RNA". It matches the Rfam family "Bacterial small subunit ribosomal RNA", at positions 28 to 507 of the family's 1533-position model. The record is from RNAcentral.
GACGAACGCUGGCGGCGUGCUUAACACAUGCAAGUCGAACGGUGAAGCUCCAGCUUGCUGGAGUGGAUCAGUGGCGAACGGGUGAGUAACACGUGAGCAACCUGCCCCUGACUCUGGAAUAAGCGCUGGAAACGGCGUCUAAUACUGGAUACGAGAAGGGUCCGCAUGGGCACUUUCUGGAAAGUUUUUCGGUUGGGGAUGGGCUCGCGGCCUAUCAGCUUGUUGGUGAGGUAAUGGCUCACCAAGGCGACGACGGGUAGCCGGCCUGAGAGGGCGACCGGCCACACUGGGACUGAGACACGGCCCAGACUCCUACGGGAGGCAGCAGUGGGGAAUAUUGCACAAUGGGCGAAAGCCUGAUGCAGUGACGCCGCGUGAGGGAUGACGGCCUUCGGGUUGUAAACCUCUUUCAGCAGGGAAGAAGCGAAAGUGACGGUACCUGCAGAAGAAGCACCGGCUAACUACGUG